This 31-nucleotide non-coding RNA is filed under the name Rattus norvegicus (Norway rat). Lineage: Eukaryota; Metazoa; Chordata; Mammalia; Rodentia; Muridae. The record is from RNAcentral.
UCAAAGUGUUCCAUGGCAAGAGGCUCUUUGC